This 244-nucleotide long non-coding RNA is filed under the name Cricetulus griseus (Chinese hamster). RNAcentral describes it as "lncRNA (ENSCGRG00000025964.1)". Lineage: Eukaryota; Metazoa; Chordata; Mammalia; Rodentia; Cricetidae. The record is from RNAcentral.
CCUUGUUUCAACUAGCCUAAUCCCCAUGCCCCUUUCCCUUAUCUCCCUCCCUUUCUCCCUCCUCCACCCCCUAUUCUCUCUUUUCCUCUCUUCCCCUCCCCUACUUCCUCCCUUUAAUUGAGAAGGCCUCAGUACUGCCCAGGUUUGCUGGAACCAACAAUUACAGCAGCCUCUGGAAGAGCAACUUUGGAGAACUGAAGGAGACAAGAGGUCACACUACCAGGGGUCAAGAGUUAACUACAAG